Molecule: long non-coding RNA, 1290 nt
Filed under: Vigna radiata
Lineage: Eukaryota; Viridiplantae; Streptophyta; Magnoliopsida; Fabales; Fabaceae
Description: long non-coding RNA (VRAD_LNC001657)
Source: RNAcentral
CCAAUUAACUUUUAUUUCAAAUUAUACUUUUAAUUAAUUUGAUUUCCAAUCAAUUUAAUUUUAGAAACAUCAUUUAUUAUUUUCAAUUCUAAUUAUUAGAAUCAAUUUCUUGCUUUGUUCUAUUAAGUUUUACUGUAGAAAUGGUCCGUGAUAUGAUUACUGGUUUUUCUCAGGUGAUUCUUUCCAUGGGUAUUCAUCAACUAAACUUCAAAAGGUUUUUUUACAUUUUUCUCCUUUUCUUUUUCUUGUGUUCAUCAAUUUUAGUUUAGCAAAUGUUCAAUUUAUUGUUUCUCAUUUCUUUUUCAGCGAAUGGGGGGCCAAUCUCUUGGUUUCCUUAUGCGAUACCCGCCUAAGUUGCAAUAACAUGCUCUCAUCCAUAACAGGUUCAUGUCUUUCACACUGGCUCAGUCUAUGAUUCUUAAUUUCAGAGAAGUAUGUGAUUCAGAGUUCACGAGCUCGGCUGUGAAUUUUUAUGCUGAACUUAGCUGUUUGUUGAGAAUGUUAUUGGCUUAUUCAAUUAUGACAACUCCACUCUAUUGUGUCUUUGAUAGAGCUAAACCGUCUGUUCUAUCCAAAUAGUAUUCUCCACAUCGUGGAGUUCUCUGAUACCAUUGUCGGUGGGAGGACUAAAAGUAAAAUGGAUUGAUUUCUUUGUUUUCUGUUAGAUCUGUCGUACGUUUGUCUAGUUAUCCAUUGGUGGAGCUGAGUCAUCUUGUCUCUCUGAUUCAUAAAUAGACGAGUGUGUAUGACAUGGAAAGGCAAAGACAAUUGCUUUCUUUAUGCAUCUUGAAAGGAUUUCUCAAUCUUUUUUCCGCCCAUACCUCAUUAAAGUGUCAGUACUUAGUUAAGAUAAGUUGAUUUGUCACAGCAACCAUGAUACUUUCUAUGUCCAAGUGUUAGGAACUUAUAAUUUGAAACACUUCUGAGUUUGCGAGGGAGUUCAACUUGGUCCAAAUAAAAGAUUGCAAAUUUCUGCAUUCGUAAACUUUGUCUGCCUACUCAGUUUAAAUUGAUGGAUCAUUGAGUUGGAUGUUAUGUGAAAAUAAUAACAGUAACCAGUGAUAUAGAGGACGCAACAGAGGAAUUAAGGGAAGAAUGAAUCUGAGAUAGGUUUUGUAGGAAGAAGUGGAAGUGGAGGGAUAGGCACACACUUUAUUAAAUUUUCCUAAAUAUCCUUCCGUUCCAUGGCUUAAACACAUCUCCUUAUGGUGUCCUAAGAAGACAAAGGGAUGGGAUGAAAGCUACAUUUAUUUUAAAUCUUCAUUAUAAAUAUUCCUACCACAUAAAUAU